CCGGUCUCAUGUAACUCGGUCGCGCAGCUACGCCACUAACUCAUCCGCCUGGCGGCACGGUCGCCAGAUUCCAACUCAAAGCACUUGACUGGGGCCUGCACAAGCGGUUGAGCAUCUGGCCUAAUUCGAAGCAACGCGCAGAACCUUACCAGCGUUUGACAUGGCUAGUAUGAUUUCCAGAGAUGGAUUUCUUCAGCUCGGCUGGCUAGCACACAGGUGCUGCAUGGCUGUCGUCAGCUCGUGUCGUGAGAUGCUGGGUUAAGUCCCGCAACGAGCGCAACCCUCGUCUUUAGUUGCCAUCAUUCAGUUGGGCACUCUAAAGAAACCGCCGGUGAUAAGCCGGAGGAAGGUGGGGAUGACGUCAAGUCCUCAUGGCCCUUACACGCUGGGCUACACACGUGCUACAAUGGCGGUGACAGUGAGCAGCUAGAUCGCGAGAUCAUGCUAAUCUCAAAAAGCCGUCUCAGUUCGGAUUGUUCUCUGCAACUCGAGAGCAUGAAGGCGGAAUCGCUAGUAAUCGCGGAUCAGCAUGCCGCGGUGAAUACGUUCCCAGGCCUUGUACUCACCGC
RNAcentral lists this ribosomal RNA (569 nucleotides) under uncultured Blastomonas sp. RNAcentral describes it as "bacterial SSU rRNA". It matches the Rfam family "Bacterial small subunit ribosomal RNA", at positions 823 to 1393 of the family's 1533-position model. The record is from RNAcentral. Lineage: Bacteria; Pseudomonadati; Pseudomonadota; Alphaproteobacteria; Sphingomonadales; Blastomonadaceae.